This 441-nucleotide ribosomal RNA is filed under the name uncultured bacterium. RNAcentral describes it as "partial 16S ribosomal RNA". It matches the Rfam family "Bacterial small subunit ribosomal RNA", at positions 338 to 795 of the family's 1533-position model. The record is from RNAcentral.
CCUACGGGAGGCUGCAGUGGGGAAUAUUGGGCAAUGGGCGCAAGCCUUACCCAGCAAUACCGCGUGAGUGAAGAAGGUCUUCGGAUUGUAAAGCUCUUUGAUCAGGGACGAACAGAUGACGGUACCUGAAGAACAAGCCCCGGCUAACUACGUGCCAGCAGCCGCGGUAAUACGGAGGAUGCGAGCGUUAUCCGGAUUUAUUGGGUUUAAAGGGUGCGCAGGCGGAGGUGCAAGUCAGCGGUCAAAUUGCGGGGCUCAACCCCGUACUGCCGUUGAAACUGCAUCCCUUGAGUGCGCGAGAAGUAUGCGGAAUGCGUGGUGUAGCGGUGAAAUGCAUAGAUAUCACGCAGAACUCCGAUUGCGAAGGCAGCAUACCGGCGCGCAACUGACGCUCAUGCACGAAAGCGUGGGUAUCGAACAGGAUUAGAUACCCGUGUAGUC